This 428-nucleotide long non-coding RNA is filed under the name Pelobates cultripes (western spadefoot toad). The record is from RNAcentral. Lineage: Eukaryota; Metazoa; Chordata; Amphibia; Anura; Pelobatidae.
GCAGGUGGAAAAAGUAUGUGAACCCUUGGAUUUAAUAACUGGUUGAACCUCCUUUGGCAGCAAUAACUUCAACCAAACGUUUCCUGUAGUUUCAGAUCAGACGUGCACAACGGUCAGGAGUAAUUCUUGACCAUUCCUCUUUACAGAACUGUUUCAGUUCAGCAAUAUUCUUGGGAUGUCUGGUGUGAAUCGCUUUCUUGAGGUCAUGCCACAGCAUCUCAAUCGGGUUGAGGCCAGGACUCUGACUGGGCCACUUCAGAAGGCGUAUUUUCUUCUGUUUAAGCCAUUCUGUUGUUGAUUUACUUCUAUGCUUUGGGUCAUUGUCCUGUUGCAACACCCAUCUUCUGUUGAGCUUCAGCUGGUAGACAGAUGGCCUUAAGUUCUCCUGCAAAAUGUCUUGAUAAACUUGGGAAUUCAUUUUUCCUUCG